UAACAUCCCCUAUGUUGGUCCUCUCUUCUUCUACUUCUGGAAAUACGACUACGGUGGUUCUGCCCAAUCUCCCCAACGACUUCUUACCUGACACGGUCACCGAAUACACCUCUCCGACGAGGGCAGAUUCGUCGUCGUUUUGGCCACGACGUGCUACGUGAAGUUCAACUACAUGAUCUAUGAUGAGAAGUUCCUCCUCUGGUUCAACGCCGACGAGAUCUGGGUCGAUUUGCCCCUGCCGAUAGCAUCUACUUCCAGGUCGGCAUCAUCUUCUCCUUGCCAUGGAAAUCCAACUAAUCAUCGUCCUCUGGCUUCUUCUCCUUCCAGAUUCAGAGUUCGAAACUGUUUCUAAGGAAGGCAGGGAGAAUUAAAAAAAGAAACAAAGGAAUCGGUUAUCAGAAAAUCCUAAUUGAGGAGUAAUGGAUGUUUUACAAAGCCAUAUGGAGAAGAAAUUAAAUACUGAAGAAAACAUCAAUGGUGGGCUCAGAUGGAGAUAUGAUGAAACUAGUGACGGCGAAGAAGAGCAGGGAGCUAUGGAAAUCGGUUACUAUGCAACUCCAACUAGGACAACUAGACGAAUCAGAGUUGCUAAGAGAUGAUAACACUUCUUUUUUGGUAAAAGGAUUCUGGAAGUUUUAUGGGAACAAACAGGAAAGCGCACAAGUGAAACAGAGCUGUUUGUAAGAUGAGAGCUAUGUUUUUUUUGGAACUUCGAGUACAUUUACGCUGGUCUCAGUUGUGGUUGUGCAGCUAAUUUCAAAGAUGGCAUUGUUGUUGUAAAGGAGCAUUUUCUCAUCUUUUGCUUCAGUGUUAGUUAAUCCAAAAAAUAAUGGUGGCGAAUCUAGAUUUAAGAUUUGGUUCUUGGCUUUAUGAUGAAGAAUCUUUGAUGAAGAUGUUAAUGGUUGAGUACAGUAGAUUCUGGAUUUCAGUAGUUGCUGAGAGAAAAAGGAGAUUAGAGGGGAAAGAAAAAGAGGAUUGACCUAAUACAUUUUUGGUGCAAAGUCUAAUAUACCCCCGGGUGCAUCGGUGGACCAAAAUAAAACUUGUGCACCCUAGUAGGCACCUUAAAUUGAGAGUAAUAUAUGUAUUUUUCCAUAU
Molecule: long non-coding RNA, 1098 nt
Organism: Lotus japonicus
Lineage: Eukaryota; Viridiplantae; Streptophyta; Magnoliopsida; Fabales; Fabaceae
Exons: 2
Source: RefSeq, a predicted model, not a curated record